RNAcentral lists this long non-coding RNA (443 nucleotides) under Ananas comosus (pineapple). RNAcentral's name for it is "long non-coding RNA (ACOM_LNC001554)". The record is from RNAcentral. Lineage: Eukaryota; Viridiplantae; Streptophyta; Magnoliopsida; Poales; Bromeliaceae.
AGUUUGGAGAUCUAAAUAGAAAAAAAUAAUAAUAAUUAGUAGGGAUGUCAACGGGUUGGGUCUGGGUCGGAUUUUUAAAAGCCCGAACCUGAACCCGAAAACCAAAUUAAAAUUCGUACCCGGAUUCGAAUUCGGCGGGUUUUAAAAAUCCAUACCGUUGAAUGAAGAUUUAAGAGAUAAAAAUUAUUAAAUAUUUUAUAUAUUAUAUAAAUGAAUAAAAAUAAAGUAUGUAUAUAUAUAAUUUAUUCAGGUUCAGGUUCGGGCCAGAUAAAUACAAAAUCCAUACCCGUUAGGUUUUUAUUUUCUAUACUCAUAACCGAAUCCAUACAUGUUUAGCUUGGGUAAACCGGCCCCGUUCAGAUUCGGAUUCGGAUAAUAUUUCGGAUAUCCAUAUCCAUUGACAUCCCUAAUAAUUAAGGACCAAAUUGUAAAAUUUAGAUACC